UACAGAGGUCCCAAGCGUUGUUCGGAUUCACUGGGCGUAAAGGGUGCGUAGGCGGUCGGGUAAGUCUGACGUGAAAUCCCGCAGCUCAACUGCGGAACUGCGUCGGAUACUAUUCGGCUUGAGGAAUGGAGGGGAGACUGGAAUUCCCGGUGUAGUGGUGAAAUGCGUAGAUAUCGGGAGGAACACCAGUGGCGAAGGCGACUACCUGGCCUGUUUCUUGACGCUGAGGCGCGAAAGCUAGGGGAGCAAACGGG
This 254-nucleotide ribosomal RNA is filed under the name uncultured bacterium. RNAcentral describes it as "partial 16S ribosomal RNA". It matches the Rfam family "Bacterial small subunit ribosomal RNA", at positions 524 to 776 of the family's 1533-position model. The record is from RNAcentral.